RNAcentral lists this transfer RNA (74 nucleotides) under Streptomyces phage Mildred21. RNAcentral's name for it is "tRNA-Pro". It matches the Rfam family "tRNA". From Rfam's summary of the family: Transfer RNA (tRNA) molecules are approximately 80 nucleotides in length. The record is from RNAcentral. RNAcentral also lists the same sequence under 2 other names. Lineage: Duplodnaviria; Heunggongvirae; Uroviricota; Caudoviricetes; Stanwilliamsviridae.
CAGGCACGGGGAAGAUGGUAAUCCGUUGGCUUUGGAAGCCUAAGAAACUCGGUUCGAUUCCGAGGUGCCUGACC